AGUUGAUAGGAAGAUCAGCAGUCAUUCUUGAGAUGUUUAGUUGGUAGCAGUGAUCUUUAAAUGAAAGAGUCGA
This is a non-coding RNA of Biomphalaria pfeifferi, 73 nucleotides long. Lineage: Eukaryota; Metazoa; Mollusca; Gastropoda; Planorbidae. The record is from the annotation of a GenBank genome assembly.